GAUGAACGCUGGCGGCGUGCCUAAUACAUGCAAGUCGAGCGAACAGACGAGGAGCUUGCUCCUCUGAUGUUAGCGGCGGACGGGUGAGUAACACGUGGAUAACCUACCUAUAAGACUGGGAUAACUUCGGGAAACCGGAGCUAAUACCGGAUAACAUGUUGAACCGCAUGGUUCAACAGUGAAAGACGGUCUUGCUGUCACUUAUAGAUGGAUCCGCGCCGCAUUAGCUAGUUGGUAAGGUAACGGCUUACCAAGGCAACGAUGCGUAGCCGACCUGAGAGGGUGAUCGGCCACACCGGAACUGAGACACGGUCCAGACUCCUACGGGAGGCAGCAGUAGGGAAUCUUCCGCAAUGGGCGAAAGCCUGACGGAGCAACGCCGCGUGAGUGAAGAAGGUCUUCGGAUCGUAAAACUCUGUUAUUAGGGAAGAACAAAUGUGUAAGUAACUAUGCACGUCUUGACGGUACCUAAUCAGAAAGCCACGGCUAACUACGUG
Molecule: ribosomal RNA, 497 nt
Filed under: uncultured bacterium
Lineage: Bacteria
Description: partial 16S ribosomal RNA
Rfam family: Bacterial small subunit ribosomal RNA
Source: RNAcentral